GGCGCAGGCGGGAAGGCAAGUUGGAAGUGAAAUCCAUGGGCUCAACCCAUGAACUGCUUUCAAAACUGUUUUUCUUGAGUAGUGCAGAGGUAGGCGGAAUUCCCGGUGUAGCGGUGGAAUGCGUAGAUAUCGGGAGGAACACCAGUGGCGAAGGCGGCCUACUGGGCACCAACUGACGCUGAGGCUCGAAAGUGUGGGUAGCAAAC
RNAcentral lists this ribosomal RNA (206 nucleotides) under uncultured bacterium. Its description in RNAcentral is "partial 16S ribosomal RNA". It matches the Rfam family "Bacterial small subunit ribosomal RNA", at positions 568 to 773 of the family's 1533-position model. The record is from RNAcentral.